UCAAGAAUAUUCCGCAAUGGACGAAAGUCUGACGGAGCGACGCCGCGUGCAGGAAGACGCCCUUCGGGGUGUAAACUGCUUUUGCGAGGGAAGAAUUUGUGACGGUACCUCGAGAAUAAGAGGUUGCUAACUCUGUGCCAGCAGCAGCGGUAAUACAGAGACCUCUAGCGUUGUCCGGAUUUAUUGGGUGUAAAGCGUCCGCAGGUGGUCUAAUAAGUUGGUGGUCAAAUCCUGAUGCUUAACAUCAGGGCUGCUAUCAAAACUAUUAGGCUUGAGGCUGGGAGAGGCACACGGAACUGUCGGUGUAGUAGUAAAAUGCGUUGAUAUCGACAGGAACACCAAAGGCGAAAGCAGUGUGCUAGAACAGUUCUGACACUCAUGGACGAAAGCGUGGGUAGCGAAUGGG
RNAcentral lists this ribosomal RNA (406 nucleotides) under uncultured bacterium. Its description in RNAcentral is "bacterial SSU rRNA". It matches the Rfam family "Bacterial small subunit ribosomal RNA", at positions 355 to 776 of the family's 1533-position model. The record is from RNAcentral.